AAAUUUUGUGAAACGGAGCGUUUUACCAAUUUCUAUAAGCGCAGCAGCGUCUUCGAAGUUUCAAACGCAGCGUUUUGCAGUUUUUUUUUCUGAUACGCACGAAAGAAACCGUAUGUAUAGUGUUGUAACGGUGGUGGUGGUGACUUCGCUGCUAGUUUCCAAGGUUUGGUAUCCACUUCGGCGAUGGCGCACGGCGGAUAUGCCUAGCGGAGGGUUACGGAGCGUAACACGACGGCAGGAACUAGUCGGAGAUCAAAGGGACUUCUGUGUUGAGAAGAAAACCGAAGAAUUCGUCUCUCAAAAACCAAAUUCGUUCAAUCGGCCGCAUGAUUCGUAAAGAUCUUCCACCUGAAGAAAGAGAGGCUCUAGAAAAGAAGUUGGAUGAUCUGAAGAAGCAACAAGAUAUACAUAGCUGUCUUGCUGUUGAACGUUUAAUCUUUCUAAGAAACAGAAAGAUCAGAUUCUUUGGUGUGAGAUUAUAGCAUGUUAUCUUUCUAUGCAUUGGAUUGUUUGAGUUGUUUGUUUUCCCCCCCUGAGUGAUUUGGCUUCAUCUGACAUCAAAGAUGAAAUCUAUCUUUGAGUAGAGAGAAGAAAGAUUGAAAGGAGCAUAAGACGUCUUGAGAAGUUACAACGGAAUGGUCAUGUGCAAGAUGCAGAGAUUGGUGGGCAACUCCAUAAACUCAAAGAAGACCUUGAAUAUGUUAAGUUUAAAAGCUACUGACAUCUUGUUGCUGUGUGCAAUUCAUUUCUUCCCCAAGAAUGAAAAGUAUGUACCUCUCUAUUUAGUGGAGGUGAUGAUUUGCAAGUAUCUGACCGGAGAAGUACAUUGCGGAAGCAAACUAAAGCCAAUAUAAUUGUUGCUGCUGCCACUGGGAAAGAGUUGGAAGUUGAAAACAGAGACAGGGAGCGAAGAUGAUGCGCUAUUGAACCUGAGUGAUGAUGACUUCUUUGUCAACGGAAGUUCAAGUGACGAAGCAGAUGCGGACGAUGAGUGGACUGAUAAAAGCACCCAAGGAGCCCGGUUUCUAGUGCUUUUCCAGUGAUGAAAGAAAUCAGCCGUACACAACUAGGGUUUUAGGUUUGCAUCAACUUCUCGUAUGUAUUCAUCUGUGGAGAGGAACGAGAUACCUUCCUCUAGCAACACUUCACGUAGAAGAAGCCAGUAUUCACAUGCUGCCACAAGUUUGCAUACAAGUCAGAGUAGCAACUUGAGUUCUAACUCUGAUGCUCACAAACCUAAGAGGAAGAGAAGACCUAAGAAAAAGAAGCAACAUGCGUGAACGGGAUCUGUACUGGCAUGAUUAGAACCCGCCUUGUCUUACACUCUCUGAAACGGGUAUAUAUAUGUUUUUAUGUGGUCAUGAAGGCAGAUAGAUAGGUUCUGCUGUUUUUGCAUAAUGAUAUAAACCCUAAACCUUGGGCUAAACGUGUUUCUCCCUUGAGAUAAGCAUUUUAUAAUUCUGUUCUGUGUUCA
Camelina sativa (false flax) is the source of this 1474-nucleotide non-coding RNA. The record is from RefSeq and is a predicted model, not a curated record. Lineage: Eukaryota; Viridiplantae; Streptophyta; Magnoliopsida; Brassicales; Brassicaceae.